This 403-nucleotide ribosomal RNA is filed under the name uncultured bacterium. Its description in RNAcentral is "partial 16S ribosomal RNA". It matches the Rfam family "Bacterial small subunit ribosomal RNA", at positions 28 to 526 of the family's 1533-position model. The record is from RNAcentral.
GACGAACGCUGGCGGCGUGCCUAAUACAUGCAAGUCGAACGCAGUGGGAACGGUUGAGUAAAACGUGGGUAACCUCCCAUCAGAGGGGAUAACCCUUGGAAACAGAUGCUAAACCGAUAUUGAUGUAGGUACCCGCUGUGCAUGAGCUAGUUGGUGAGGUAACGGCUCACCAAGGCCACGAUACAUAGCCGACAUGAGAGGGUGAGCGGCCACACGGGGACUGAGACACGGCCCAGACGCGUACGGGAGGCAGCAGUAGGGAAUGUUCGGCAAUGGACGAAAGUCUGACCGAGCAACGCCGCGUGAGUGAAGAAGGUUUUCGGAUCGUAAAGCUCUUUUGUUAGAGAAGCGGUAUCUAACCAGAAAGCCACGGCUAACUACGUGCCAGCAGCCGCGGUAAUAC